UACCCGCUGGCAAUGGGCAAGGAGACACCUGGUUGGUGGUGUUGCUCUUGUAUCAGUCAGGGGCAAAGCAGACGUGCAGUCCUUAGUUCAUCCUAGCCUGACGCCUGUGUCGGUGGCCAGAGCUGUUUCAAUGCCUGAGGCACAAAA
This 147-nucleotide small nucleolar RNA is filed under the name Myotis davidii. RNAcentral describes it as "Small nucleolar RNA SNORA48". It matches the Rfam family "Small nucleolar RNA SNORA48". Rfam says of the family: The snoRNA ACA 48 has been identified to guide pseudouridylation of the residue U3797 in the 28S rRNA subunit. The record is from Rfam by way of RNAcentral. Lineage: Eukaryota; Metazoa; Chordata; Mammalia; Chiroptera; Vespertilionidae.